This 645-nucleotide ribosomal RNA is filed under the name uncultured fungus. RNAcentral describes it as "eukaryotic LSU rRNA". It matches the Rfam family "Eukaryotic large subunit ribosomal RNA", at positions 24 to 664 of the family's 3401-position model. The record is from RNAcentral. Lineage: Eukaryota; Fungi.
CCCGCUGAACUUAAGCAUAUCAGUAAGCGGAGGAAAAGAAACUAACAAGGAUUCCCCUAGUAACGGCGAGUGAAGCGGGAAAAGCUCAAAUUUGAAAACUGUCAUGUCACAGUGACAGAGUUGUAUUUGAGAAGAUAUGAGCCUAGUAAGGGGAUUGAUGGCCAAGCCUUUUGGAAAAAAGCACCAUAGAGGGUGAGAGCCCCGUUGGCGAUUAGAUCGCUUUGCGCACGCACAUGUCUGACGAGUCGGAUUGUUUGGGAAUGCAGUCCUAAAUGGGUGAUACGUGUCAUCUAAAGCUAAAUAGAGGCAAGAGACCGAUAGCAAACAAGUACCGUGAGGGAAAGAUGAAAAGCACUUUGAAAAGAGAGUCAAAAGUACGUGAAAUUGUGGAGAGGGAAACGCUGAUCAAGAUGGAGGUGGGGGGUGGAUAGUGUGCAGUAUGAAAAUAUUGCAGAGUCACUGGCCACUACUCGGAUGAGGCUUGGUUGUGUGGCAUGAAAAGCGCGAGUGGAAGGUGGCUUUGAUCUUUUAGAUCAACGGCUUUAUAGACACUUGUAGUGAAUGCGGCGAGACCAAGAGCAGCACUAGCUGUGUUACGAAAUAAUCUCAUCAUGCAUUUGAUCAUCGACCCGUCUUGAAACACGG